Molecule: ribosomal RNA, 380 nt
Filed under: uncultured eukaryote
Lineage: Eukaryota
Description: partial 18S ribosomal RNA
Rfam family: Eukaryotic small subunit ribosomal RNA
Source: RNAcentral
CAAUAGCGUAUAUUAAAGUUGUUGCAGUUAAAAAGCUCGUAGUUGGAUUUGUGGCGUACGGUGUGUUCCGGGCACUUGUUGUCUGAGUAACCUGCUGUUGCCAUCCUUGGGUGGAACCUGUGUGGCAUUAGGUUGUCGUGCUGGGGAUGCCCAUCAUUUACUGUGAAAAAAUUAGAGUGUUCAAAGCAGGCUUAUGCCGUUGAAUAUAUUAGCAUGGAAUAAUGAGAUAGGACUUUUUUGCUAUUUUGUUGGUUUGCGCAAAGAGGUAAUGAUUAAUAGGGACAGUUGGGGGUAUUCGUAUUCCAUUGUCAGAGGUGAAAUUCUUGGAUUUUUGGAAGACGAACUACUGCGAAAGCAUUUACCAAGGAUGUUUUCAUUAA